AAGUAAAAAGCGAAUCGCACUUAGUUUCGGCCUAAGCCUUGAUAUUAAUUUAUCUUUACUUG
RNAcentral lists this transfer RNA (62 nucleotides) under Belzebub intermedius. Its description in RNAcentral is "tRNA-Arg". Lineage: Eukaryota; Metazoa; Arthropoda; Malacostraca; Decapoda; Luciferidae. The record is from RNAcentral.